AUCAUUGGCCACCCUGUUUUAGCCAGACCAGCCCACUGAUCAAGUGCUGAGUUCGUCACUGCAAAGAGGUGUCCGCGUGUGCUUGUGUGCUUGUGGGCUUGAGGCAGAGAAGGCUCGUCAGUGUGUGUACGCGCAUGGAGGAGCUUCUUAAAGGAGUUUACUUCAACACGAACUUGUCCGUUAUGUUUCUCUGUCGGUUUCUGCUUGUGGUUCUGCUCUCUGUCGUUUCCUUAUCCAUGGAUCAGGUUUCUUAAGGAAAAUAGAAUCGCUGGUGCUGACAUCAUGGCUGAAAUGAGAUAAAUUGAGUGUUGGGGAGGAGACAAAGAGGGAGACGAAAACCACUCAGCAAGUUCCAGUUGUGGUUCCUAUAACUACAGAAACUGCUGAUGGUCUGCUGUGUGUAUAUGGCACUGAUCCUGCGGCUGCUAAUUACACCUGGUACAGACAGGAUUUGCUCUCUCUUCCUGAAGGAACUAAAGCAGAAGGAAACAGACUGCAUUUCAUGACGUCAACCUCAGACCUAAAUGGAAUGUAUGUCUGCAUUAUUACCAAUAAAUAUGGCACAUUUGCCGCUCAACUCUAUAGAAAAAUUCAUGACUGUCCCCUACAGAGGAUUUCAAAAUGGGGUAAGGUGAUAAUUUUUUAAAAUUUAAAUACAUAUAGAUUUUUUAAGGGCAUUAACUUCCAUAUUUACAUAGAAACAAAUGUCCAAUAUACUGUAGGCCUUUCUCUGAAUGUUUUUAAAAACUAUGAACAAAAUAUUCUAAUCUAAUAAUGUAAUCUAAUGUGUCCAAACUUCUGACUGGUAUACAAUAUAUGGAAUAAAAGCUGGCAGCUUUAUCCAUCACUCACUUUCAGUAAACACUUUGUUGUGGUCAAAGUUGUGGUGGAUCUGGAGCCUCAACCGGGAACAUGAAUCACAAAUGGGACCCAGUCCAUCGCAGGGCAUCAUGUGCACACACACUGAUGUAUUCAUUAACACCUAGAGGCAAUUUAGACGAUUUAACAUGCACAGAAACUCGGCACAGAGGGUUACCCGAGCUCAGUAUAAACCGGGGACCAUGGAGCAGUCACUUCACCAUUCAUAUCUAAUUUGUCUAACUAACAAACCUGCAAUAACACAGAUCUUUUUCUACUCAGCUAGCCACCUGUUAAGGUAAAGAAGCUUAUGUGUUCAUGCCUAUUUUAAUAUAAGAUUUUAUAUUUCUACAGUUUUGGCACUGUGGAAGCUGCUGAAUCCAACACAGUAUCUUCAACAGUGAACUCCAAAAACUCCUGCAAAUCUACAGAGGACUAAAAUUGUUAUUUGGCCCUCAAAAAUUACACAGUUAUUAUUGACUCUUUCAGCUCAUGCAGUUAUCCAAGGUACAACCUGUGAACCUGAAAAACAAUCUGUGAUAAAUGGUUCUUUGUGGUGAUUUCUGAAAGGGGCUGAAGCUUGUAUGAUUGGCAUUCCAAACUUAAACAAACUACUAUAUAUAUA
Ictalurus punctatus (channel catfish) is the source of this 1483-nucleotide long non-coding RNA. NCBI's taxonomy places the organism in Eukaryota, Metazoa, Chordata, Actinopteri, Siluriformes, Ictaluridae. The record is from Ensembl.